Long non-coding RNA from Pollicipes pollicipes, 650 nucleotides. RefSeq lists it as uncharacterized. The transcript has 3 exons. Lineage: Eukaryota; Metazoa; Arthropoda; Thecostraca; Pollicipedomorpha; Pollicipedidae. The record is from RefSeq and is a predicted model, not a curated record.
UUCAUGCCUUGAAAAGAAUCACUUUGUGCAUGAGAAAGAUACAUUCUUGCAUAAAAUGGAAUUUCUCCGGAACAAUUGGAAUAACACGACGUGCUCACAUAUCGCGCCGGAUAAAGCUAUUGAAGGAUACACAUUUAGGAAAACAUUUAACGGAUUCUCAUUUUUCGGUCUCUCGGAAGAAAUGCAAAUAGACGAAUUCGAUGCAGUUUACAGACAUAUUGACCUAUUGCGAUAUGACAAUACCACCGUACAAGAGCUCUUGGAGUUUUCGGCUCAAGACCUACACAAGCUGAUGAUAUCGGAUUUUGGACAAAAUAAUCAAGGUAAUUUCAGCAGCCCGUCACAAAAAAUUACAGUGCAAAGUAAAGUCUUAAGUUUUGGACCAAACUGCCGAAGAUAUAUCCAAUCCAAGAGUCAUAAAAUACUGCAUCAACGGUACCAACUGAAGCUUAUUUUGAGAAGGACAACAGAGAGCUACUUGUUGGUGUUCAUCAAUACGUUUCAAGAAUUUAGUGAUCUGCCGGUUGCUUCCAUAUUACGCCCUUAUCGGAUUCCAAUGGACAAAGACACUGUUCUCCACAUUCGCAGAAUUGAGAAGACAACACAAGAUGGGGAAUGUAGAUCAUAUGGACGUAACGAAUCUAGGGCUA